GGACAUUAAACCCUAUCCUUGUAUUUUCAUAAAGUUAUUUAUAUCACUUGAGUUAAUAUGAUGCAUUAGGUGAAUAGGAGUUGAGUGAAUCCUAUUUGUUGCAUUAUCUACCUUGAUGAUUUCCAUAUUAACCUUGAUACCUGCUUUAUGAAAAUGCUUAGUAUGCUUAGCCCUGCUUAUUAGAUAAGUUUUCAAAUGAGAACGUUUGAAGGGUCGUUGUGGAAUACUUUUAUGGUUAAUAAUGUUUAAACUUGAGACCGGUCGGUGGACUUGCUUUAAGAAUGG
RNAcentral lists this long non-coding RNA (285 nucleotides) under Sorghum bicolor (sorghum). Its description in RNAcentral is "long non-coding RNA (SBIC_LNC018035)". Lineage: Eukaryota; Viridiplantae; Streptophyta; Magnoliopsida; Poales; Poaceae. The record is from RNAcentral.